This 1927-nucleotide ribosomal RNA is filed under the name Listeria monocytogenes. Its description in RNAcentral is "partial 23S ribosomal RNA". It matches the Rfam family "Bacterial large subunit ribosomal RNA", at positions 1001 to 2925 of the family's 2925-position model. Lineage: Bacteria; Bacillati; Bacillota; Bacilli; Caryophanales; Listeriaceae. The record is from RNAcentral.
AGAUCCGUAGUCGAAAGGGAAACAGCCCAGACCACCAGUUAAGGUCCCCAAAUAUAUGUUAAGUGGAAAAGGAUGUGGGGUUGCUUAGACAACCAGGAUGUUGGCUUAGAAGCAGCCACCAUUGAAAGAGUGCGUAAUAGCUCACUGGUCGAGUGACCCCGCGCCGAAAAUGUACCGGGGCUAAACAUAUUACCGAAACUGUGGAUGAACCUCUUUAGAGGUUCGUGGUAGGAGAGCGUUCUAAGGGCGGUGAAGUCAGACCGGAAGGACUGGUGGAGCGCUUAGAAGUGAGAAUGCCGGUAUGAGUAGCGAAAGAAGGGUGAGAAUCCCUUCCACCGAAUAUCUAAGGUUUCCUGAGGAAGGCUCGUCCGCUCAGGGUUAGUCGGGACCUAAGCCGAGGCCGAUAGGCGUAGGCGAUGGACAACAGGUAGAGAUUCCUGUACCAGUGCUAAUUGUUUAACCGAUGGGGUGACACAGAAGGAUAGGGAAUCGCACGAAUGGAAAUGUGCGUCCAAGCAGUGAGUGUGAGAAGUAGGCAAAUCCGCUUCUCGCGAAGCAUGAGCUGUGAUGGGGAAGGAAAUUAAGUACGGAAGUUCCUGAUUUCACGCUGUCAAGAAAAGCCUCUAGGAAGAGUAGUACUGCCCGUACCGCAAACCGACACAGGUAGAUGAGGAGAGAAUCCUAAGGUGAGCGAGAGAACUCUCGUUAAGGAACUCGGCAAAAUGACCCCGUAACUUCGGGAGAAGGGGUGCUCUAUUAGGGUGCAAGCCCGAGAGAGCCGCAGUGAAUAGGCCCAGGCGACUGUUUAGCAAAAACACAGGUCUCUGCAAAACCGUAAGGUGACGUAUAGGGGCUGACGCCUGCCCGGUGCUGGAAGGUUAAGAGGAGUGCUUAGCUUCGGCGAAGGUACGAAUUGAAGCCCCAGUAAACGGCGGCCGUAACUAUAACGGUCCUAAGGUAGCGAAAUUCCUUGUCGGGUAAGUUCCGACCCGCACGAAAGGCGCAACGAUCUGGGCACUGUCUCAACGAGAGACUCGGUGAAAUUAUAGUACCUGUGAAGAUGCAGGUUACCCGCGACAGGACGGAAAGACCCCGUGGAGCUUUACUGCAACCUGAUAUGGAAUGUUUGUACCGCUUGUACAGGAUAGGUAGGAGCCGAAGAGACGUGUGCGCUAGCAUACGAGGAGGCAAUGGUGGGAUACUACCCUGGCUGUAUGACCAUUCUAACCCGCCACGCUUAGCGCGUGGGGAGACAGUGUCAGGUGGGCAGUUUGACUGGGGCGGUCGCCUCCUAAAGAGUAACGGAGGCGCCCAAAGGUUCCCUCAGAAUGGAUGGAAAUCAUUCGCAGAGUGUAAAGGCACAAGGGAGCUUGACUGCGAGACUGACAAGUCGAGCAGGGACGAAAGUCGGGCUUAGUGAUCCGGUGGUUCCGCAUGGAAGGGCCAUCGCUCAACGGAUAAAAGCUACCCCGGGGAUAACAGGCUUAUCUCCCCCAAGAGUCCACAUCGACGGGGAGGUUUGGCACCUCGAUGUCGGCUCGUCGCAUCCUGGGGCUGUAGUCGGUCCCAAGGGUUGGGCUGUUCGCCCAUUAAAGCGGCACGCGAGCUGGGUUCAGAACGUCGUGAGACAGUUCGGUCCCUAUCCGUCGCGGGCGCAGGAAAUUUGAGAGGAGCUGUCCUUAGUACGAGAGGACCGGGAUGGACACACCGCUGGUGUACCAGUUGUUCCGCCAGGAGCAUCGCUGGGUAGCUAUGUGUGGCAGGGAUAAACGCUGAAAGCAUCUAAGCGUGAAGCCCCCCUCAAGAUGAGAUUUCCCAUUUCUUCGGAAAGUAAGAUCCCUGAAAGAUGAUCAGGUAGAUAGGUUUGGAGUGGAAGUGUAGCGAUACAUGGAGCGGACAAAUACUAAUCGAUCGAGGACUUAACCAA